UACGUAGGGUGCGAGCGUUAAUCGGAAUUACUGGGCGUAAAGCGUGCGCAGGCGGCGCGUUAAGACAGGUGUGAAGGCCCCGAGCUUAACUUGGGAAUUGCGCUUGUGACUGGCGUGCUGGAGUGUGGCAGAGGGAGGUGGAAUUCCACGUGCAGCAGUGAAAUGCGUAGAGAUGUGGAGGAACACCGAUGGCGAAGGCAGCCUCCUGGGCCAGCACUGACGCUCAUGCACGAAAGCGUGGGGAGCAAACAGG
This 253-nucleotide ribosomal RNA is filed under the name uncultured bacterium. RNAcentral's name for it is "partial 16S ribosomal RNA". It matches the Rfam family "Bacterial small subunit ribosomal RNA", at positions 524 to 776 of the family's 1533-position model. The record is from RNAcentral.